AAUUGUAGAGUACAGAUUCAAAUGAAGAAAAAAUAUGUCUGUCCCCAGCAUUAUGGAGCUUAUUGUAUAUACCAUGCAGUAUGCCCUUUUAGGGUGGCACAGUGGUGCAGUGGGUAGCACUGUCACCUCACUGCAAGAAGGUCAUGGUUUCGGCUUGGCCUGAGCAUUUCUUGUCCUGAGCAUUUCUGUGUGGAGUUUCCUGUUCUCCCCCCGAACUUUCACACAUCUUAACCACAACAGGAACUCAUAAAAACAUGAGUGCAGUUUCAGGAAGUCAGCUCUGAUCUUGCGCAUAUAUUUUUGUAAAUGUAUAAUGUAAGCCCACACAUUGCACAAUGACUGCCUGCUCAAAACAGAUCAGUUUCACUUGGUGUUCCAGUAAAUGGAAUACAUAACAGUAUAUAAAACAUGGCAUGUAUAUAAUGUUAAAUUUCCAAGAGUACUUUUCUGUUUUAUUUUUAAAAUAAAAAGUAUUUCGCUAAAUGAAGGUUUAUGAUACAGCUAUGCACCUGAAGAGAAAAGUAAGAUCAUUUUACAAGAAUGCAAAAGGUUGUUUUUAUGUGGAUCUAUAAUUUCUUGUUCAUAACAUAAUGCAAUAUCUGAUCUACUAAACUGUGAAGGAAAAUGGUAAAUAUUAUCUUUCAGAUCGAACUUAUCUUUCAGAUCUAUCCAUGGAAACUGCCACGCCCCCACUGCCAUUUAUAUAUCUGGAUGGGAACAAAGGGGUCACGGACAGCCUGGUUGCGAUUGGCCCAGCUCUCGGUGUGUUGGUGUGUUUAUUUCUGGCUGCUCUUGCUGUCCAACUCAAAAGAUCAGUUUCAAAUCCUCUUGCCUUAAAACCAGCAGGUUUGUCUGUCCCUGUAGACACUGUACAGGGGGAAGAGGACCCUGAACAUGUGUACGAUGAGUACGGUGAGAUGACCGUAUACAGUACUGUUGGCUUGCCCGUGGAGAACUCUGAGGGGCUAUACUGCACGGUGCAGUUCUCUGACCUUCCACCGGGGGCAGAUGAGAAUGGCCUGUACUGGUGAUGCCCCACUGAACGAAGAACACCUUCUGGAAGAGAAGCUUACUCUUGGGCUUAACUGCAGUCCUGCAGGCUGUUGUGUAUGUUAGUUUUUGGUGUGUUUCAGCAAUAAAAGCUAGUUAAGACAUCGAUUGGCUAAAAGGUCCACACACCUGGUUUCCAAUACCUAAAUUGAGUGUUGAAGGAAAGGUCUGUGUGUGGGCGGUCUGUGGCAAUGCCACAGUGUGGGCUUGGUGUGUGUGCUGUUUUUUGUUUUUCUAACCCAUUAUUCUGGUUUAACUUUUCAUUUUCUAAGAAGCUGCACUACACCAGUGUUGGCUCAGUCCAGUAUCAGACAGUAAAACGAUUUCACCAAGGACACACACACAGUCUGCAGCUGAGGCUCAUGACUUGGCAAAAAUGUUUGAUCAAAUAAAUUGAGAAAUAAUUAAAAGCCGAAGUUGGCACAAAACUCCAUAAUGGAAUAUCCCCAGCUUAGUAGGUGCCCCAGCUGAUAUACCACAGACAUACUGUCAGGCUUGGAACGUUUUCACAGACACUGAUGAUGGAAGCUGUGGAAAAACUGCACUCUAAGGUUGUUUCCACGGAGAUGCUUCAAUACGCCGUUGAGAGAUGGCAUGAAAAAGCUUUAAACUGCUGAGUGUUAAUCAUUCUACAACAUUUUAGUGCAUUCCAACGAAUAAGGAUGAAAUUAUCAAGAUUGUAAAAUAUAUUUUUUUAAACGAACACGAUCACUUAUUUGUAUCUGAAGUGGUUCAGUGUUUGAUGAAGCCAAACGAACAGGCCCAGUAGGUAGGAGUUUAAAUCAGAAGUGUGACCCAAAAAUGGGCUUGGUGCUGCAGCUAUGCCAGCACUUAAUAACACUGAUUGGUAAAGUUCCCAUCACAGUCAGGUAGGGUGCUUUCAGCAGUAGGGCAUAGGCUCUACUGAUUCUCCCAUUAUUGUUAAUGAUCUGGGCAACUAAAAAUGGACGAAUACAGAUACAGCAUAAAAAAGC
This is a long non-coding RNA of Anguilla anguilla (European eel), 2024 nucleotides long. RefSeq lists it as uncharacterized. The transcript has 4 exons. NCBI's taxonomy places the organism in Eukaryota, Metazoa, Chordata, Actinopteri, Anguilliformes, Anguillidae. The record is from RefSeq and is a predicted model, not a curated record.